RNAcentral lists this ribosomal RNA (196 nucleotides) under uncultured prokaryote. Its description in RNAcentral is "partial 16S ribosomal RNA". It matches the Rfam family "Bacterial small subunit ribosomal RNA", at positions 524 to 719 of the family's 1533-position model. The record is from RNAcentral.
UACGAGGGGAGCAAGCGUUGUUCGGAUUUAUUGGGCGUAAAGCGCACGUAGGUGGUCUGUUAUGUCAGAUGUGAAAGCCCUCGGCUUAACUGAGGAAGUGCACCUGAAACUGGCAGGCUUGAGUACGAAAGAGGGUCGCGGAAUUCCCGGUGUAGAGGUGAAAUUCGUAGAUAUCGGGAGGAACACCGGUGGCGAA